Molecule: ribosomal RNA, 253 nt
Filed under: uncultured bacterium
Lineage: Bacteria
Description: partial 16S ribosomal RNA
Rfam family: Bacterial small subunit ribosomal RNA
Source: RNAcentral
UACGAAGGGUGCAAGCGUUACUCGGAAUUACUGGGCGUAAAGCGUGCGUAGGUGGUUUGUUAAGUCUGUUGUGAAAGCCCCGGGCUCAACCUGGGAAUGGCAAUGGAUACUGGCAGGCUAGAGUGCGGUAGAGGGUAGUGGAAUUCCCGGUGUAGCGGUGAAAUGCGUAGAGAUCGGGAGGAACACCAGUGGCGAAGGCGGCGAUCUGGGAAGAUACUGACGCUGAGGUGCGAAAGCGUGGGGAGCAAACAGG